UGGGGAAUAUUGGACAAUGGGGGAAACCCUGAUCCAGCCAUGCCGCGUGAGUGAUGAAGGCCUUAGGGUUGUAAAGCUCUUUUACCAGGGAUGAUAAUGACAGUACCUGGAGAAUAAGCUCCGGCUAACUCCGUGCCAGCAGCCGCGGUAAUACGGAGGGAGCUAGCGUUGUUCGGAAUCACUGGGCGUAAAGCGCGCGUAGGCGGCCAUUCAAGUCAGAGGUGAAAGCCCGGGGCUCAACCCCGGAGUUGCCCUUGAGACUGGAUGGCUAGAAUCUUGGAGAGGUGAGUGGAAUUCCGAGUGUAGAGGUGAAAUUCGUAGAUAUUCGGAAGAACACCAGUGGCGAAGGCGACUCACUGGACAAGUAUUGACGCUGAGGUGCGAAAGCGUGGGGAGCAAACAGGAUUAGAUACCCCUGUAGUCC
This 424-nucleotide ribosomal RNA is filed under the name uncultured prokaryote. RNAcentral describes it as "bacterial SSU rRNA". It matches the Rfam family "Bacterial small subunit ribosomal RNA", at positions 355 to 796 of the family's 1533-position model. The record is from RNAcentral.